UGACGUCAAGUACAUCAUGGCCCUUACGGCCUGGGCUACACACGUGCUACAAUGGUCGGUACAAAGGGUUGCCAAGCCGCGAGGUGGAGCUAAUCCCAUAAAACCGAUCGUAGUCCGGAUCGCAGUCUGCAACUCGACUGCGUGAAGUCGGAAUCGCUAGUAAUCGUGAAUCAGAAUGUCACGGUGAAUACGUUCCCGGGCCUU
This 204-nucleotide ribosomal RNA is filed under the name uncultured Pseudomonas sp. Its description in RNAcentral is "partial 16S ribosomal RNA". It matches the Rfam family "Bacterial small subunit ribosomal RNA", at positions 1180 to 1382 of the family's 1533-position model. Lineage: Bacteria; Pseudomonadati; Pseudomonadota; Gammaproteobacteria; Pseudomonadales; Pseudomonadaceae. The record is from RNAcentral.